AUGAAUUAUGUAAAAAAAACUAGAACAAAAUAUAUAAUGUUGUAAGCGGCUAUCAUAUGUGAAUCCACACAAUUGAUAUCUCACUAUAAUUUACCAGUUUGAAGUGACAAAAUAGAUGCUUAUUACAGAAAGGAAUAUACCCUAUCACAGAAUCCAUAAUAUCAACAAAAUUAACACCAAGUUCAACAAAACCAAUAUCAACACAAUAGUUAAGUUAGACAAAACAGAUAAAACAGACAAAACAGAUAUUUUCAGAUUCAGAUUAUCUAUUCUGUGAAACAUUUCUGUCAGUCAAAUUAGUGAACCAAUGAGAUGCAAGCAUACUUCUUAACCAAUAACAAGCACUCUUUAACUGAAGUCCAUUUAUCUAUUAAUUCACAUUUCAAAUAGCAACAGUUAUUUGGCCAAUAAUAUUAGGUUUCACUUUUUUUUCUGAUCCUGCAGCUUCUUGCCAUGUUUCCCCUCCCCUGAGGCUGCCAUUUUUCUAGCACAUGCUCUCCAGAAUGGAUCCUAGGGGUAUUAAUGUGAAGCUAUUAGCUGACAGCAUUUUGAACCUUUCAAAAAUAGUUGAGAAUUUGUCCUCUGCAAGCUCCAACACUGGGCUUCUUGCCAUGUUUCCCCUCCCCUGAGGCUGCCAUUUUCUAGCACAUGCUCUCCAGAAUGGAUCCUAGGGGUAUUAAUGUGAAGCUAUUAGCGGACAGCAUUUUGAACCUUUCAAAAAUAGUUGAGAAUUUGUCCUCUACAAGCUCCAACACUGGGCCUCUAGGGUCACAUCAUUCAACAAAACAAGGACACAUCAAUUCUGCC
Xenopus laevis (African clawed frog) is the source of this 807-nucleotide long non-coding RNA. RefSeq lists it as uncharacterized. The record is from RefSeq and is a predicted model, not a curated record. NCBI's taxonomy places the organism in Eukaryota, Metazoa, Chordata, Amphibia, Anura, Pipidae. The transcript has 3 exons.